ACUUACUCAUCGAAAUAUGCCCAUUCCAAAAUCAUCCAGUCCCAGAGUUCCUCCAGCAAAACCCAAGUCCAGGGUGGUCAAAUUUCAUCAAGUGGUAGCUCCAUGUAUGGAGAGG
Long non-coding RNA from Euleptes europaea (tarantolino), 115 nucleotides. RefSeq lists it as uncharacterized. NCBI's taxonomy places the organism in Eukaryota, Metazoa, Chordata, Lepidosauria, Squamata, Sphaerodactylidae. The record is from RefSeq and is a predicted model, not a curated record. The transcript is spliced from 4 exons.